Molecule: ribosomal RNA, 273 nt
Filed under: uncultured bacterium
Lineage: Bacteria
Description: partial 16S ribosomal RNA
Rfam family: Bacterial small subunit ribosomal RNA
Source: RNAcentral
CAAUGGCGUAAACAAAGGGAAGCGAGCAUGUGAAUGUGAGCAAAUCCCAAAAAUAACGUCUCAGUUCGGAUUGUAGUCUGCAACUCGACUACAUGAAGCUGGAAUCGCUAGUAAUCGCGAAUCAGUAUGUCGCGGUAAAUACGUUCCCGGGUCUUGUACACACCGCCCGUCACACCAUGGGAGUCAGUAACGCCCGAAGCCGGUGACCCAACCAAACGGAGGGAGCCGUCGAAGGUGGGACCGAUAACUGGGGUGAAGUCGUAACAAGGUAUC